UUUGAAUAGGACUCGCGGCUCUGUAAAUUUACACAGACAUUAAAUUUCGUUCUAUUCAUUUUAGACAUAUAAUGCUAAGCUGAUUUUUUUUUUAUAGCACACUGAUCGAUAUCUCUGUAAAAUAAUCAUUUUUUUUUAACUAGCGGGGCAGUGAAAUCUUUGCUUUGUGCUAAAGUCAACAGUGACAGAGUUUGAGCUCAAAUAAAUGCCGUGAUGUCUGGAGCCCUUUGCAGAAGGCAGAAGGCGAGCUUCUACAAUGGGCUUCUGUGCGGCUUGCCAACAACAAGCACCGGCUAUUUUGCACAGACGCACGUGGCUUCCGUUUCAAGGACACUUUUCCAUGGCUGCACUCCGUCUGCUCUCGCCGCCCUGCAUCCAGCGACCUGAAAGCACUUCCCCGUCGAUGUACUUGGCUAUAUCUACGUCCGACCUGCCUGCCAUAUGUAAUAUCAAAGCCUCUGUCAGCGCCGAGCUGAAUGGGAACAAAAGCGAGGCCUCCAUUAAUGAUUAACUGUUCUAAAAGCCCCGGCUUUUGUAUUCCCAUGGUGCCCAGGCUAUCUGGCCACCAUGUGACAUGCUCACAGCAUUUUUCGAGCAGAUUGGGGGAAAGCUAGUGAGCAAACACAGGUGCUUUGGAGCAGCGUUGCCGACGCUGUCAGGGACAACCACAAACAAGAGCAGCUAUGCCUGGCUAAAUGAAUCCCCACCCCUCCCAGCGCCGCCACCACCACCACCACCACCCCCACCCUCUCCGUCGCUAGCUAACUUGUUUGCUAGCUCUCCAUAGCCUUCCUUCUGGAGGCCCCCCCCGCCCCCCGUGAGGCUAAUGUCCGGCCGCUUCACAACUUCUCACACACCCUCCAAAGAAACAAACAAAUAAAAGUGAGGACGGCCGACCGCUUCUUUGAGGUGAUGGCAUUUGCUGUGGUCACGACUAGUGGGAGAGCAAACAAAUUAAUGGUGUUCUAGUUUUCACUUUCCAAACCGAGCCAAACGUCUUUUAGUUCAAGUGGGGCAAUUCCACUGACCCCGGUGUCAAACGCUGCGUGAGGGCUGCACACUCUCGCACUCGAAUCGCAGAGAGGAGGCCGUGAGAAAUUAAACAGGGGGCCCGAGCAUCGGCCCACGCGAGCCUGCUGUGUUGAAACCCCUCAGGGUGACGAAUAAAUCUUAAAUAAAUGAUGUGUAAUAAACACAACAGUGGCUUAUUUUUGCCGUCUGUGUAUUUCGACAGCACACAUUAACAAGAGGUGUGGAGCUCUUAACCUUUUCCUCCAGGCCUUCCAGGACUGGGGUUGCUGUGUCGCUCAACUUUGAUAAGACAAUCAGAUGAUAGGAUGGCGUUAUCUUGACAUGGCUUUCCGGGCCGGGGGACAAAUGAACAGUGUGCGAUAACAGGAACAAAAGCUUGGCUCUUAUUUGUCCUGGCUCCAAAGACUAGAAGAAAUGAUGAGGAUGUAAAACUUACACAAUACAAUAGGUGCCUUUUAUUUCAUUUUCCAGCUCUUUUUUCCCUAAUCACUCAAAUAUUGAUAUUAUCUCUUGUUGGCAUUUUGGUUUGACAUUUUGCAAUUACCUAUUCCUAUAAAGCCGCCAUUAUCCCUUGAAAGAUGAUGAAAAAUGCUUCAAAACCAAAUGAACAGAGAAGGUAUUUGAGUUGUAAAAGUGAGACAAAUAGAUGCAAAAAAAGAGGCCUACUGAUUACAAACACUCAGCAGAUGUUUAUAGAGGAAUUGAAGGACAAAAGAAAUUGCGUGCGUGAAAUGAAGAGAUGGGAAGACGGAGGAAGACGGAGGAAGAGAAAGGUCAAAAGUUGUUCCUUCGGAGACCCGCUUCUGAUUGGUGAAAUGCAACUCCCGUUUUUGGACUUUUGCGGCCCAAUUCUAAGAGUCAGAGAGUGGUGUGUGCUCAAGGAUUCACUCAGUGCUUUGUUUGCUCUAUUGCCAUAAAAUGAUUGGAAAAAAUAUUGGUGCCAUGGCACCAAAUGUGAGAACUUUCUUAAAAAAAAUAAAAAAAUAAACUUCAGAAAUUGCAUGAAUAAAACAUUUGUUUUAAAAGCCAAAGUGUUAUGUGUUAUUUUUAAAUGUCAUUCUCCCGAAAGUUUGUUUUUAAUGAACAGUCAAUUUUGUUAAAAUGGGCAUGAAGUAGAGUCAGGUUAAACCUUUCU
Long non-coding RNA from Gasterosteus aculeatus aculeatus (three-spined stickleback), 2167 nucleotides. The record is from Ensembl. NCBI's taxonomy places the organism in Eukaryota, Metazoa, Chordata, Actinopteri, Perciformes, Gasterosteidae.